Equus caballus (horse) is the source of this 1913-nucleotide long non-coding RNA. Lineage: Eukaryota; Metazoa; Chordata; Mammalia; Perissodactyla; Equidae. The record is from Ensembl.
AAAUUUCCAAAAACUUGGCGGCUUAAAAUACCAUUUAUUCUCUUACAGUGCUGAAGGCCAGAAGUCUGAAAUCAUUUUCACUGGCCCCAAAUCACCGUGUCAGCAGGACUGUGCUCCUCUCAGAGUCUCUAGAGGAGAAUCCCUUCCUUGCCUUUUCCAGCUCCUCGGGGCUUCCAGCUUUUCUUGGCCCAUGGCUGCAUCUCUCCAAUCUUCAAGUCACACCAAUGGAUGGAAAGGAAGACCACUGGAUAAAAGCAGCGAAGAAAACGGCAUCGCGAAUAGGAUUUAAGAUCAACAAAGCUGGGAAAUGAACAGAAAGAUAUGGAAAGCCUUCAUUGGUCUUCAUCACUGCUGCUAAGCUGACAGAUAAUUGAAUAACUUUUAGUCACUGUGCUGGGUUGGAAGGACACAAACAUAAAGAUUCCCUAUACUCUCCAAGAUUGCUUUCACGAUCAGACAGACCUACUACAUAGCAGUUACAGUGCAAUGUGAAGAAAUGCCUGCAAUCUGACAGGUCUUCUGCACAGUGGGGAUGCUUGGGGUCUCUGAUUGUUCUACUUGUAACUGGAUGUCUUACAAGCCAAGUGGCUUGCAGGUUGGAAGGGGUGAUGCACGGCGCAGAGCCCCAGAGAGAGGCUUUCCCAAUGACAGUCAUGCAAGAGGUUCAUCCAUCCAUCACCACAGUCAAGCUUCAGAACAGUUCUAUCACCACAAGGUGAUGGAGCUUCCUCCAGUACAUACUCUCUGCCAAGGCCAAGCCCAAAUCACAGCCCAUACUCAGACAAAGCAAAAGACUCCAGAGAAAAAAGUGGUGUCAGUCUCAGCGCAAUGAAGAACAGCUCUUCCUUCUACAGAAUUUUGGUUCAUCUAAUCAUCUUUGUUUCCACAGCUCUCUGAUGUCUUCAAAAAAGUAUGAUUUGGUAGUUUAUCAAGGUAUUUCUAGUUAUUACAAAGAGUGAUGCUCUUCUACUACUUAUGAUAUACUGCCCUGAGUUGGAUAUUCUACUUUAUACUACUACUUUUCUUUUUCCCCAUCAAAUUGCCUUGGAAAAAAUCGAAUAAUCACAUAAAUGUAAGUCCAUUUAUGGUCUCCAUUUUUCUGUUCCAUUGAUACAUGCCUGUACUUCUUCCAUUACUACAUGUUGAAAAUAUUGUAGGCUAUUGUAUGUCUUUAAAUAAGGCAAUAAAUCCUCCAAAUGUGUUUUUCUUCUUUAAGAUUGUAUUGCUUAUUCCAGAUUUUUUCCAUAUGAAUGAUAGAAUAAGUUUGUCAAUAUCUAGCAGAAAAACCUGUAGAGAUUUUGACUGUGAUUAUAUUUCACUUAUAUAUCAGUUUGAGAAGAAACAACUUCUUAACAAUAUAAUGUCUUCCAAUUCAUUAGCAUGCCUUAUUUCUCCGUUACUUAGAUUACCUUUAAUUUCUUCCAGUAAAGUUUUUUACUUUCUGUGUAGAGGUCUUUCAAGUCUCUUGUUAAAUGUAUUCCUAAGUAUUUUAUGUUUCUUUUAAUGCUAUUAUAAAAUAAAUUGUUUUAAAUAUCAUUUUCCAAUGGUUUGCUAUGAAAAUAUAAAAACUAAAUUGAUUUUUGUGUUGACCUUGUAUGUUGUGACUUUGUAGAAUUCAUUUAUUGGUUUUAAAGUGGCUUUAUUUUCAUAAUAUUCUACACAAUCUUAUCAUCUGUGUAAAAAAAGAAUUUUGCUUCUCCUUUUCCAAACUUAGUGCCUUUUAUUUCAUCAUCUUGCUUUAUUGUAUUAAGAUCUACAAUACUAUGUUUAAUAAAUGAGUGAGAGCAGACAACCUUGCCUUCUUAAAAUCCUAAGGAGAAAGCAUACAUUUUUCACCAUUAAGUAUAAUAAAUCUGCAGAGUUUUCAUGAAUAUCCAUUUGUUGCUUGCUAGACAUUUUUUGGCCAUAAAUAG